AGCGGUUCGCGAGAACCGCUGGAUAACCUGGAAGUCUUAGGUCGGCUUCCGGAUUAUCUCCUCAUCAGGCUAAUCACGGUUUUUGACCCGGAUUUUUUCCGGGUCUUUUUUUU
Molecule: non-coding RNA, 113 nt
Filed under: Pseudomonas syringae pv. tomato str. DC3000
Lineage: Bacteria; Pseudomonadati; Pseudomonadota; Gammaproteobacteria; Pseudomonadales; Pseudomonadaceae
Description: prrF2
Rfam family: PrrF RNA
About the family: PrrF RNA is a small RNA involved in iron homeostasis and is found exclusively in Pseudomonas species.
Source: RNAcentral